Molecule: RNA transcript, 1193 nt
Organism: Mastomys coucha (southern multimammate mouse)
Lineage: Eukaryota; Metazoa; Chordata; Mammalia; Rodentia; Muridae
Gene name: bcl-2-associated transcription factor 1 pseudogene
Exons: 2
Source: RefSeq, a predicted model, not a curated record
AUGUGUGGUGACGGAUCGGCGGCGAGAAAGGAGACUCCCGAGCCGUUCCUUGAAUUUGAAUUUAAGAGUUUAGUUUCCCGUAACAUUCUCUACAAGAAGAAUCUUGGCAGUAUCUUAAAGACUUCACUGACUUCUGGAUCCUGCGCCAGCAAAAGCACUUCUGAAUCAUUUAUACAACACAUUGUAUCCUUGGUUCAUCAUGUAAAAGAGCAAUACUUCAAAUCACCUGCAGUGACCCUAAACGAGAGGUUUACUUCAUACCAGAAAGCUACUGAAGAACAUAGUACCAGGCAAAAGAGCCCUGAGAUACACAGGAGGAUUGACAUCUCUCCAAGCGCACUGAGGAAGCAUACCCGUUUAGCAGGAGAGGAGAGAGUUUUUAAAGAAGAAAUUCAAAAGGGAGAUAAAAAAUUAAGGUGUGAUUCGGCUGAUCUUCGGCAUGACAUUGACCGUCGCCGUAAAGACAGAAGUAAAGAGCGGGGAGAUUCCAAGAGCUCCAGGGAGUCCAGUGCAUCAAGAAAGCAAGAAAAAGCACCAAAGGAUUACAAGGAAUAUAAACCUUACAGAGAUGACAGCAAACACAAAGGUAGAGAGCAAGAUCAUUCCCGGUCAUCGUCCUCUUCAGCAUCACCUUCCUCACCCAGUUCUCAAGAAGAAAAAGAGAGUAAGAAAGAAAGAGAAGACGAGUUUAAAACUCACCAUGAGAUGAAAGACUACUCAGGCUUUGCAGGAGGUAGCAGACUACGAGGGACCUUCCAUGAUGACAGAGAUGAUGGUGUGGAUUACUGGGCCAAAAGAGGAAGAGGUCGUGGUACAUUUCAACGCGGCAGAGGGCGCUUUAAUUUCAAAAAAUCAGGUAGCAGUCCAAAAUGGACUCAUGACAAAUAUCAAGGAGAUGGGAUUGUUGAAGAUGAAGAAGAGACUAUGGAAAAUAAUGAAGAGAAGAAGGACAGACGCAAAGAAGAAAAGGAAUAGCCUCAAGAUUGCAACAGGGAGCAGAACUUGACACAUUUUUUUUUUAAACCUGAUUUUUGUUUUCAAAUAAGAAUGUAAGCAUUUUACUUAAAAUGUACUGUUUGCAAGUAGUCUAUAGAAAUUUUGUUUUAAGUCUUCAAAUAUCUUGAAAAAAAUAGUAGACUGUAUGUUGAAAAUUGUAUUGAAAUAAAGUAGAAAAUGUUCGGUAAAAAAAAAAA